Molecule: long non-coding RNA, 242 nt
Filed under: Lathyrus oleraceus (garden pea)
Lineage: Eukaryota; Viridiplantae; Streptophyta; Magnoliopsida; Fabales; Fabaceae
Description: Pisum sativum (pea) long non-coding RNA (PSAT_LNC033307)
Source: RNAcentral
UUCAAUGCUUGGGAAGAAGGGAUCCCUAUUCUGAUCACAAUGGACAUGUAUUUAUAGGCUUAUGCAUUGCUUUUCACACACUUGAAAAUUUUGCCAAAUUUAGCAACAUUGGUGCAUGGAUGCAUAGGAAAUGAUUUAGGCCUAAUCCAUGAUGUAAUCUCACUCUAAUUCAUGCACAAUGGAUCCUGAAAUAAUAACAUGUAAGCAUGCAAAAGGAAAUGGUCAUUUGAAUUCAAAUCUUG